Long non-coding RNA from Gadus macrocephalus (Pacific cod), 1481 nucleotides. RefSeq lists it as uncharacterized. Lineage: Eukaryota; Metazoa; Chordata; Actinopteri; Gadiformes; Gadidae. The record is from RefSeq and is a predicted model, not a curated record. The transcript is spliced from 2 exons.
UGCUCUGCGAGGAAAUAUUAGGGCAUGCCUGUGUAUAGUGCAGCGUGGAGCAACCGCUGACAAGGGUUUCCCAGGGAUUACACAGAGCUUCUAUUCACCGAUUAAUCAUUAACCAAGCCCUCCAAGACACUGCUCUAUCCUUCUUUUCAUACACAAAACGGGCUUUAAUGGACACGGUCGCUUCUAGUUUUUUAAGGGGGGAUAUUUUAAUCGGAUUGCCAACAAAAAAAACCUAGGCGUCACCCAGGAAAGGAACAAGUUGAAUGGAAUUUGUUUUAUUUCCUGAUUCAAAACGACGACUGCUACCAGAAGCUUGGCGAUACAAAUCUAAGGUUUCCAAAAGCGGACGGAGGAGCACGCGCGGAGAGGUUUGGCGCUUAUUUCCCGUCAACAUGGAGUUGCAGGCGUGGAAAAGACCAGCCACAACUAUUAAUCAUUCUGGGCGGACAUGAACAUCACCCCACUCCCACACCAGCCUUUGUUUUCUCAAACUACAAGUUGAGCAGUAAACUUUUAAAGGCACGGGCUGGAGAAGAGCAUAUCUUUCAAUGCAUCUUCACAAUGCAAAUAUAAUGGCCGAGAGCACCGAACGCGUAAUAGAUAGUUUACGCGUAAUACAAUUUAGAUAGUUUACGCGGUGCUUGAUUGUGUUAUGGAGCAUGCUGUUUGGAUGUCAUUGUUUCGGUUGUACUUUCUUGUUCUUUUAUUUUAUUAGUGUGCUUUUUUUUAAUCGUGGUCCAUGUGUUUAUCCAGGAUCGUCAACAAAACAGGAAAGUUGGAGAAUGUUGGAGGCGCUGGAGAAUGUUUGGCGGACGUAACGCAGGACAGAAAGCAGACCCUAUACUCCCACGCAGCCUUUCGCCACCGCACCUGAACUUUUCCCUGACCCGGGGAGAGACAACCAAAGUGUGAAGUUUAAAAUCCAGAAGUCGUGGAAAAGAAGGCACAUAGUCUAUCAAGGACAUUUGUUUUACAGACAAUCGAUCUUAUUCCUAAGAACGUAUACACUACCUUAUAAGACCCAUAAGACCUGGACCCUAACUGUGGUUCAAUUUGUAGGCAAAUAUAAUUUGAACAUAUGGUUUUGAACGUUCAUAACACUGCUCCGUUCUUUGAAUAGAGGUAGAUAUGCAAUCGCAAAUGCAUAUUUGCUGACAACUAAAGGGAACUAAAGGCGCAAACCACUUGUCACCAUUCUUUCUUUGGAUGGCGGCCAGAGAGCGCUACAUAUCUCCCCACAAUGUUGACAUCCGGAGGUCUAACGAGUAGGCUUAGGUUACCGAUAAACUCCACUAAAGAUAAAUGCUACUCGAAGGUUUACAACCGCCAACAUCAAGGCUAAUGUGAAAUGCAACAGUUUAUCUAGUGCCCUUCUUGAUCACUGUUUAAUGGCAGAAGGAGAGUUUGAAUGCGUUUCAAUGUUUGAACUGUGAGUCGUUCAUGUGGAUUGUUUAACUAGUUUCAAUAAAGAGUCAAUAUUU